This 452-nucleotide ribosomal RNA is filed under the name Rothia dentocariosa. Its description in RNAcentral is "bacterial SSU rRNA". It matches the Rfam family "Bacterial small subunit ribosomal RNA", at positions 37 to 488 of the family's 1533-position model. Lineage: Bacteria; Bacillati; Actinomycetota; Actinomycetes; Micrococcales; Micrococcaceae. The record is from RNAcentral.
GACGAACGUGGCGGCGUGCUUAACACAUGCAAGUCGAACGAUGAAGCCUAGCUUGCUAGGUGGAUUAGUGGCGAACGGGUGAGUAAUACGUGAGUGACCUACCUUUGACUCUGGGAUAAGCCUGGGAAACUGGGUCUAAUACCGGAUACGACCAAUCUCCGCAUGGGGUGUUGGUGGAAAGCGUUAUGGAGUGGUUUUAGAUGGGCUCACGGCCUAUCAGCUUGUUGGUGAGGUAAUGGCUUACCAAGGCGACGACGGGUAGCCGGCCUGAGAGGGUGACCGGCCACACUGGGACUGAGACACGGCCCAGACUCCUACGGGAGGCAGCAGUGGGGAAUAUUGCACAAUGGGCGCAAGCCUGAUGCAGCGACGCCGCGUGAGGGAUGACGGCCUUUCGGGUUGUAAACCUCUGUUAGCAUCGAAGAAGCGAAAGUGACGGUAGGUGCAGAGAA